RNAcentral lists this ribosomal RNA (468 nucleotides) under uncultured bacterium. RNAcentral describes it as "partial 16S ribosomal RNA". It matches the Rfam family "Bacterial small subunit ribosomal RNA", at positions 28 to 507 of the family's 1533-position model. The record is from RNAcentral.
GACGAACGCUGGCGGCGUGCUUAACACAUGCAAGUCGAACGGAAAGGCCCUGCUUUUGUGGGGUGCUCGAGUGGCGAACGGGUGAGUAACACGUGAGUAACCUGCCCUUGACUUUGGGAUAACUUCAGGAAACUGGGGCUAAUACCGGAUAGGAGCUCCUGCUGCAUGGUGGGGGUUGGAAAGUUUCGGCGGUUGGGGAUGGACUCGCGGCUUAUCAGCUUGUUGGUGGGGUAGUGGCUUACCAAGGCUUUGACGGGUAGCCGGCCUGAGAGGGUGACCGGCCACAUUGGGACUGAGAUACGGCCCAGACUCCUACGGGAGGCAGCAGUGGGGAAUAUUGCACAAUGGGCGGAAGCCUGAUGCAGCAACGCUGCGUGCGGGAUGACGGCCUUCGGGUUGUAAACCGCUUUCGCCUGUGACGAAGCGUGAGUGACGGUAAUGGGUAAAGAAGCACCGGCUAACUACAUG